GGUGCCAUCGUCUAGUGGUAGGACAGCACAUUGUGGUAAAUAUGGUCUCUCUAAAGAGCCGUAAAGCAAUAGCUGUGCAAACGGCGGUUCGAUCCCGUCUGGCGCCA
This is a non-coding RNA of Hypoxylon fuscum, 107 nucleotides long. Lineage: Eukaryota; Fungi; Ascomycota; Sordariomycetes; Xylariales; Hypoxylaceae. The record is from the annotation of a GenBank genome assembly.